CGCCGAACAGCUAGCCCACCUGAACAACUUCAACACCCCCCUAUUAAUACCCCUGAAUAUAAAACACUAUAUAAAACAAAUCAUUUUACCCCCUUAGUAUGGGCGACAGAAAAGGGAAUUAGGCGCAAUAGCGACAGUACCGCAAGGGAACGCUGAAAGAGAAAUGAAAUAACCCAGUAAAGCACUAAAAAGCAGAGCUUUACCCUCGUACCUUUUGCAUCAUGAUUUAGCCAGUGAUUUUCAAGCAAAAAGAUUUUUAGUUUGUUAACCCGAAACUAAGGGAGCUACUCCAAGACAGCCUAAUAAUUAGGGCGUACCCGUCUCUGUUGCAAAAGAGUGGGGCGAGCUUUGAGUAGAGGUGACAGACCUACCGAACUUAGUUAUAGCUGGUUGCCCAAGAAAUGAAUAGAAGUUCAGCCUCCCGGGUUUCUCCCUUCACCUCAGUGUACACACCCCCCUGAUGUCUUAAGAAACCGUGAGAGUUAUUCAAAGGGGGUACAGCCCCUUUGAAACAAGACACAACUUUCCCAGGUGGGUAAAGAUCAUAAUAACAUAAGGUAAGUAACCCUCGUGGGCCCGAAAGCAGCCACCCCCUAAAGAAAGCGUCUAAGCUCAAAACAAUCUUGCCCCUCCCCCAAUUCUGAUCAUUUAAUCUUAUCCCCCUAAACUUAUUGAGCCAUCCCAUGCCCCCAUGGGAGUGACCAUGCUGAUAUGAGUAAUAAGAAAGCCUAGGCUUUCUCCCCGCACGCAUGUAAAUCGGAAUGGACCCCCCACCGAAUAUUAACGGCCCCAAACACAGAGGGCAGUGGACGAUAGACCAAACAACAAGAAAAUCCCCCAUCCGCUUACCGUUAACCCAACACAGGUGUGCCCCCAGGGAAAAACUAAAAGGGGGAGAAGGAACUCGGCAAACACAUAAAGCCUCGCCUGUUUACCAAAAACAUCGCCUCUUGCAAGUAAUGAAUAAGAGGUCCCGCCUGCCCUGUGACUAUUAGUUUAACGGCCGCGGUAUUUUAACCGCGCGAAGGUAGCGCAAUCACUUGUCUCUUAAAUGGAGACCUGUAUGAAUGGCACAACGAGGGCUUAGCUGUCUCCUCCCCUAAGUUAAUGAAAUUGAUCUCCCCGUGCAGAAGCGGGGAUAAACACAUAAGACGAGAAGACCCUAUGAAGCUUUAGACGUAAGGUAGCCCAAACUAUAAUGACCUCCUGAUAAGCAGCCAAACCAAAAUGAGCCCCUACCCCGAUGUCUUUGGUUGGGGCGACCGCGGGGAAAGAAAAAACCCCCACGUGGAACGGGAGUACAACUCCUUAAACUCAGAGCCACAGCUCUAACAAACAAAAUUUUUUGACCUAAAGAUCCGGCAAUGCCGAUCAACGGACCGAGUUACUCUAGGGAUAACAGCGCAAUCCCCUUUUAGAGACCAUAUCAACAAGGGGGUUUACGACCUCGAUGUUGGAUCAGGACAUCCUAUUGGUGCAGCAGCUAUUAAGGGUUCGUUUGUUCAACGAUUAAAGUCCUACGUGAUCUGAGUUCAGACCGGAGCAAUCCAGGUCAGUUUCUAUCUAUGCUAUAUUCUUUUCUAGUACGAAAGGACCGAAAAGAAGGGGUCACUAUAUUCUGUACACCUCCCCUCCACCUAAUGAAAACAACUAAAAUAGACAAGGAGAUAUGCUUUCCCUGCCAGAGAAAAUGGCAU
Molecule: ribosomal RNA, 1697 nt
Filed under: Gymnodraco acuticeps
Lineage: Eukaryota; Metazoa; Chordata; Actinopteri; Perciformes; Bathydraconidae
Description: large subunit ribosomal RNA
Rfam family: Bacterial large subunit ribosomal RNA
Source: RNAcentral